Small nuclear RNA from Brienomyrus brachyistius, 161 nucleotides. RefSeq annotates it as U1 spliceosomal RNA. The record is from RefSeq and is a predicted model, not a curated record. Lineage: Eukaryota; Metazoa; Chordata; Actinopteri; Osteoglossiformes; Mormyridae. The transcript has a single exon.
AGUGUAACCAGAGGGAGAUACAAUGAUCACAAAGGUGGUUCACCCAGGGUGAGGCCCAGCCAUUGCACUGCGGAUGUGCUAACCCCUGCGAAUACCUCAAAUGAGGGAAUCUUCACUGCAUAAUUUCUGGUAGUGGGGGCCUGCUUUCACGCUCUCCUCUG